RNAcentral lists this ribosomal RNA (60 nucleotides) under Calcidiscus leptoporus. RNAcentral's name for it is "partial Trypanosomatid mitochondrial large subunit ribosomal RNA". The record is from RNAcentral. Lineage: Eukaryota; Haptophyta; Coccolithales; Calcidiscaceae.
AACCAAAAAAAACAAAAAAAAAAAGAAAAAAAAAAAAAAAAAAAAAAAAAGCAAAACAAA